AUAGAUUCUUUUGACUUGACAUAAAUGCCACAGAUUUGUUUUUAUUUUAAUGAAGCCCAAUGACAGGAGAUCCACCAAUAAACUGGAGCCUUUGAAGCCUAAAAUAUUUAGCAACUGGCCCUUUAAUGUGUUGACCUUUGGACUAAAGGAACUGGGAGGACUUUGGACUGGAAGAAAGAACACAAUAUGACAACCGCUCUCAAAUAUUUGCCGGACUCAACAGGGAGCUGGAUCCAUCCAUCACCAGGGAAUCUUUACUAUGGAACACUCUCCUACCUAUGAAGAAAGAGGAAAGAAAGAACCUAAGACAUCAGAGAGCCACUUAGGAUUAAGAACGCAAGCUGCCCCCAAUAUGCAUCCUCUGUCCUUAAAGACCUGAGCUACGAACAUGGAAAAGAUUGAAAAACACUGCCUUCAGUCUAUCUUACAGGUACUUCCACAUGAAUAUAAACAGAUCUAUCACUUUGUGUUUACUGGCAACAUGGAUGGAAUUUCCAGAAUGGAACAGUAGGUUAAUUAUCUUUUU
This is a long non-coding RNA of Homo sapiens (human), 526 nucleotides long. RefSeq lists it as uncharacterized. The transcript has 4 exons. The record is from RefSeq and is a predicted model, not a curated record. Lineage: Eukaryota; Metazoa; Chordata; Mammalia; Primates; Hominidae.